GAGGGAGCACAUGGCCAACGACAAGGCAACUUCCGAGGCACGUUGCAAACUCAAGGGUAAGAAAAGUAGUGGGGUGCCCCCUCGGAAAAAAGCACAGGGAAACAACAGCAAUUCUAUUGUAACUACUGAGUAAGGGCAAGGUUCCGAACCAAAACACCAAAGCCCUGCAGAUCACCCAUUGUUCGGGGUGAGACGAUACGUACACAAGAAUCACAAAGCAUCCAAUCCUGUGCUACAUGUCAAAGUCACUGACCAUUUAUCUUACAAGGUACUUCAAUCAUGGAAAGGGAGAAAGAUCGAACAGGAGGCUGGAAUUGCACACUGUAGUUUACCAAUUACCAAGCGGGCAGUAGGAUUUCGCA
Molecule: non-coding RNA, 362 nt
Organism: Prunus avium (sweet cherry)
Lineage: Eukaryota; Viridiplantae; Streptophyta; Magnoliopsida; Rosales; Rosaceae
Source: RefSeq, a predicted model, not a curated record